Molecule: non-coding RNA, 94 nt
Filed under: uncultured Ruminococcus sp.
Lineage: Bacteria; Bacillati; Bacillota; Clostridia; Eubacteriales; Oscillospiraceae
Description: THF riboswitch
Rfam family: THF (Tetrahydrofolate) riboswitch aptamer
About the family: THF riboswitch presents a pseudoknot that joins P1-P2 and the loop of P3 and two THF binding.
Source: RNAcentral
CAGAGUAGAAACCAAUGCGUAAAGUGGUUUGCGGACGGGGAGUUGCCGUGAACACGAAAGGCUUUGCCUGCGGUGUCGGUUUCGCAUCCCGCUG